This 253-nucleotide ribosomal RNA is filed under the name uncultured bacterium. RNAcentral describes it as "partial 16S ribosomal RNA". It matches the Rfam family "Bacterial small subunit ribosomal RNA", at positions 524 to 776 of the family's 1533-position model. The record is from RNAcentral.
UACGUAGGGUGCAAGCGUUAUCCGGAAUUAUUGGGCGUAAAGAGCUCGUAGGCGGUUUGUCGCGUCUGUCGUGAAAGUCCGGGGCUCAACUCCGGAUCUGCGGUGGGUACGGGCAGACUAGAGUGAUGUAGGGGAGACUGGAAUUCCUGGUGUAGCGGUGGAAUGCGCAGAUAUCAGGAGGAACACCGAUGGCGAAGGCAGGUCUCUGGGCAUUAACUGACGCUGAGGAGCGAAAGCAUGGGGAGCGAACAGG